This 424-nucleotide ribosomal RNA is filed under the name uncultured bacterium. RNAcentral's name for it is "bacterial SSU rRNA". It matches the Rfam family "Bacterial small subunit ribosomal RNA", at positions 917 to 1341 of the family's 1533-position model. The record is from RNAcentral.
GGGCCCGCACAAGCGGUGGAGCAUGUGGUUUAAUUCGACGCAACGCGAAGAACCUUACCUACACUUGACAUCCUCGGAACUUUCUAGAGAUAGAUUGGUGCCUUCGGGAACCGAGUGACAGGUGCUGCAUGGCUGUCGUCAGCUCGUGUCGUGAGAUGUUGGGUUAAGUCCCGUAACGAGCGCAACCCUUAUCCUUAAUUGCCAGCGGUUAGGCCGGGAACUCUAAGGAGACUGCCGAUGACAAAUCGGAGGAAGGUGGGGACGACGUCAAGUCAUCAUGGCCCUUACGUGUAGGGCUACACACGUGCUACAAUGGCCGGUACAAACGGUUGCGAACCCGCGAGGGGAAGCUAAUCCGAGAAAGCCGGUCGUAGUCCGGAUUGGGGUCUGCAACUCGACCCCAUGAAGUCGGAAUCGCUAGUAA